GUGAGGAAUAUUGGUCAAUGGGCGAGAGCCUGAACCAGCCAAGUCGCGUGAAGGAUGAAGGUUUUAUGAAUUGUAAACUUCUUUUGCAGGGGAAUAAAGUACGGUACGUGUACCGUUUUGUAUGUACUCUGCGAAUAAGGAUCGGCUAACUCCGUGCCAGCAGCCGCGGUAAUACGGAGGAUCCAAGCGUUAUCCGGAUUUAUUGGGUUUAAAGGGUGCGCAGGCGGGUUGAUAAGUCAGCGGUGAAAGUUUGCAGCUUAACUGUAAAAUUGCCGUUGAAACUAUCGAUCUUGAGUGCAAAUGAGGUAAGCGGAAUGUGUUGUGUAGCGGUGAAAUGCUUAGAUAUAACACAGAACACCGAUUGCGAAGGCAGCUUACUGGGAUGCAACUGACGCUCAUGCACGAAAGCGUGGGGAUCAAACAGGAUUAGAUACCCGAGUAGUCC
RNAcentral lists this ribosomal RNA (445 nucleotides) under uncultured bacterium. RNAcentral describes it as "partial 16S ribosomal RNA". It matches the Rfam family "Bacterial small subunit ribosomal RNA", at positions 354 to 796 of the family's 1533-position model. The record is from RNAcentral.